AAGGUCCUACAGUUGAAAGUGCAUAUCAGAGCAAAAACCAAGCCAUGAGGUCGAAGGAAUUGUCCGUAGAGCUCCGAGACAGGAUUGUGUCGAGGCAAAAACAAGUGACCCCAAACUUUCUAAGUGACCCCAAACUUUCUAAGUGACCCCAAACUUUUGAAAGAUCAGCAUGGACUACACUGACUGAGACAGCUGUUGCCAAUUCCCUAUCACCACCUCCCUCCCUGCUAAACAUGUCCCAGAACUAGAGUUUAAAGGAACUGGAACUUAUCUUCAGAGUGCCAUUUGGACCGGUGACCUCUCGGCUGACGGCCUGUCAUACAUUAACUUGACAAAUCAAUCUCUGUAGCACUGUUAAAGGAAAGUGCUUGUUUCGAGUGUGACUCCAAUAGUUGGCCAGUACAUGCUUUACCGGACACAACUCCGAUAGGUUGCACCCAACGCUACAAGACCCGGUGCAGAUCGAGAGACUGCCCAGCAAACAGCCACCGACAACCAAGCCAGGCAACCAAGAGCUCAACUCAAACAAUGCUCUCUUUAGCACUAUUAAAGACACAGGGUACACUCCCGGCGCAGCUGCAAGAGGCUACACCCAAUGCUACCAUAUGGCCUGUCCUGUGCGGAGAGAGGGACAGCCGGCAACCUGCCAUUGGCAACCUAACCAGCCAUGGACUCUCGGACCAGCCAUUGACUAACGUCCCCUGCUUGCAAAAUUGUAUGUCCCCUGACCUGGUGGAGCAGCAGGAACUUCAGAGACAGGAGGGAACCGACAGAGAGGGAAGAAAGGAAAGAGUGUUUGCUUCUACAGAGGAGAGGACGUACCUUUCGGAAGGGAGAAGAAGGGGACACACCACCUUUUGGGAAUGGUCACCACGAAUCCGGACGACCACCCGAAGGGAGCUCUCCAUGGAAGGAUCGGGAAGACAGUGACACACGCGUGAUUUAUGUUAUAGUUUAAAGAUACUCAAGUUGUGUUACUUGUUCUUUUUUUGUAAUUUUAUUUGAACCCCUUUUCUCCCCAAUUUCAUGGUAUCCAAUUGUUUAGUAGCUACUAUCUUGUCUCAUCAUACGGGAGAAGGUUGAAAGUCAUGCGUCCUCCGAUACACAACCCAACCAAGCCGCACUGCUUCUUAACACAGCGCGCAUCCAACCCGGAAGCCAGCCGCACCAAUGUGUUGGAGGAAACACCGUGCACCCGGCAACCUUGGUUAGCGCGCACUGCGCCCGGCCCGCCACAGGAGUUGCUGGUGCGCGAUGAGACAAGGAUAUCCCUACUGGCCAACCCCUCCCUAAACCGGACGACGCUAGGCCAAUUGUGCGUCGCCCCACGGACCUCCCGGUCGCGGCCGGUUACGACAGAGCCUGGGCACGAACCCAGAGUCUCUGGUGGCACAGCUGGCGCUGCAUUACGGCGCCCAUAACCGCUGCGCCACCCGGGAGCUGUGUUCCUUGUUCUUGUGAAGAUUUGUGUUUUCCUUUGGAUAUCGUCCUUGAUUGUGUUUGAGAACGUUGUUCAAUAAAGAGAACCUGCUGCUGACUCAUUUAUUCACCUUUCCGCUUUAGAGCAACCUCCAAGUACUUGGACUGUUCACAUUGGUGGAGAAUGCGGGCACUAGGUGGAAAUGAAAAUCUACCUGUCGACAGAGAGGAACCAUUCAAGAAGGAUGGAUAACGCUCUACUACAACAGUUCAUCAAGUCCCAGCAGACAACCAUAGAACUCAUGCAACAGCUGAGCCGACGAGAAGAACCGAGAUUGAAGCCGAGAGCGACUGCUCACGCCAUCUUACCUCGCCUCUCAAAGGAGGAUGAUAUUGAGCCUUUCGUCCUGAUGUUCGAAAGGAGCUGUAAAGAUGGAGCCGUAAAGUUCCAUCAAAGGACCUACAUGGCCAACAAAUCCGUCCGUGCCCAGAUCUUUGCACUCCUAUGACUAACGAAACAGUGGCUGGAGCCCGGGAAGGGAGUAGGACAUGUCGUAGAGACGCUCGUAGUGGACAAGAUUUUGAUGGAAUUACCCUUAAAAAGGGUCGUGGGGCAAGCAAACCCGUCAUCAGCCGACAACAUAGCCCAGGCUGUGGAAACGUACCGAUUUACAUAGGAGUUCAAUCGAGGACCGGAAGGACUUUGCCAAGCCCGUUCCCUGACUAACCCCGGCAUAUCAUCCACCGACACGACCGAACCCGCUCCGGAUGUGGGAGAAGUCAUCACCCACACAACAGGGUCAGUGCUAUAAAUGACAGACCAUUACGCCCCACAAUGUCCCAGAAAGGAUGAGUCCAUGGCCACCAAGUCAUCGCUGCCCGUCCCCGCGCAUCCCGGUCCGAGAGGGCAGGAUCAGCUCUGUUGGUUAGCAGAACCAGGCGCCCGGCCAUCCGGUCUUGAGGGGGGAGGUAUGUGGAAGGACCACCAGAGGAUCAGGGCUGGGCUACUGUCUGUAGGAGUAUGUGAGUCAAGGUGAUCAGAGGCAAUUAAGCACAGCUGACGGUACUAAUGAGAUAUUCUCUUUCCCCUACAAGAGACCGGAGGGAACCGGCAGAGAGGGAAGAAAGAAAAGAGUGUUUGCUUCUACAGGGGAGAUGACGUACCUUUCGGAAGGGAGAAGAAGGGGACACACCACCUUUUGGGAAUGGUCACCACGGAUCCGGACGACCACCCGAAGGGAGCUCUCCAUGGAAGGAUCGUGAAGGCUGUGACACACCCGUGAUUUAUGUUAUAGUUUAAAGAUACUCACCUUGUGUUCCUUGUUCUUGUGAAGAUUUGUUGGGAUAUCAUCCUUGAUUGUGUUUGAGAAGAAAAAAUUACCUCAAUAGAGAACUUUGUUCAAUUAAGAAUCUGAUCCUGACACGUUUAUUCCGCCUUUCUGCUUUAGAGGAACCUCCAAAUACUUGGACCGUUCACACUAUGCCAUGAGUAACGUACCGUACGCCAAACUGCCACUUCUCCAGAUGCACAAUAUUUAUUUUGUGGGAGUUUUUGAAAAGAAAAGUAAAUCAAAUGAAGUGCAGAUUCUCCAUUUUAUAGCUGUGAAAUUUCCUACAUUGCAGUAGCCAAUCUGAAUCUUCCGCGAAUAAGAGUAAAUGCGCAUACUGAGCACAACGCACACACGCUAUACCAAGAUAGUAUCAGGGAAGGGUUAACGUAGGCUGUUUGUAAUUUAUAUAGUAUUGCCAUCACUUUACAGUAGCACACAACCACUGUGUAGAGACUAAAGAGGGUCAUUGUAGGGUCUGAUCUGCAAUGAUUCCAUUUGUGUUA
Long non-coding RNA from Oncorhynchus kisutch (coho salmon), 3253 nucleotides. Lineage: Eukaryota; Metazoa; Chordata; Actinopteri; Salmoniformes; Salmonidae. The record is from Ensembl.